GGGGAAUUUUGCGCAAUGGGGGAAACCCUGACGCAGCAACGCCGCGUGGGUGAUGAAGGCCUUCGGGUCGUAAAGCCCUGUCGGGAGGGAAGAAAUGAUUGAGGGUUAAUACCUCUUGAUCUUGACGGUACCUCCGAAGGAAGCACCGGCUAACUCCGUGCCAGCAGCCGCGGUAAUACGGAGGGUGCAAGCGUUGUUCGGAAUUAUUGGGCGUAAAGCGCGUGUAGGCGGUCUUUUAAGUCUGAUGUGAAAGCCCCGGGCUCAACCUGGGAAGUGCAUUGGAAACUGGGAGACUUGAGUACGGGAGAGGAGAGUGGAAUUCCUAGUGUAGGAGUGAAAUCCGUAGAUAUUAGGAGGAACACCGGUGGCGAAGGCGGCCCCCUGGACGAAGACUGACGCUCAGGCACGAAAGCGUGGGGAGCAAAC
Molecule: ribosomal RNA, 426 nt
Filed under: uncultured bacterium
Lineage: Bacteria
Description: bacterial SSU rRNA
Rfam family: Bacterial small subunit ribosomal RNA
Source: RNAcentral